This 501-nucleotide ribosomal RNA is filed under the name uncultured bacterium. Its description in RNAcentral is "bacterial SSU rRNA". It matches the Rfam family "Bacterial small subunit ribosomal RNA", at positions 32 to 508 of the family's 1533-position model. The record is from RNAcentral.
AAUCAACGCUGGCGGCGUGCCUCAGACAUGCAAGUCGAACGCGAAAGUCCCCUUCGGGGGGCGAGUAGAGUGGCGCACGGGUGAGUAACACGUAGGUAAUCUACCUUUGGAUGGGGAAUAACAACCGGAAACGGUUGCUAAUACCGCAUAAUGCAGCGGCACCUAAUGGUGACAGUUGUUGAAGCGGGGGAUCGCAAGACCUCGCGUCUGAAGAGGAGCCUGCGGCAGAUUAGCUAGUUGGUAGGGUAACGGCUUACCAAGGCGAUGAUCUGUAGCCGGCCUGAGAGGGCGGUCGGCCACACUGACACUGACAUACGGGUCAGACUCCUACGGGAGGCAGCAGUCGGGAAUUUUGGGCAAUGGGCGAAAGCCUGACCCAGCAACGCCGCGUGAAGGAUGAAAUCCCUCGGGAUGUAAACUUCGCAAGAACGGGAAGAAUAAGUAAGAGUUAAUAUCUCUUAUGAUGACGGUACUGUUUGUAAGCUCCGGCUAACUCCGUGC